This 440-nucleotide long non-coding RNA is filed under the name Nicotiana benthamiana. RNAcentral's name for it is "long non-coding RNA (NBEN_LNC009867)". Lineage: Eukaryota; Viridiplantae; Streptophyta; Magnoliopsida; Solanales; Solanaceae. The record is from RNAcentral.
UAUUCCUCGCUUUGGCGACAUCGUCUUGGCCAGGAGCGGCGACAGGGUGCAUGUCGAUCAAUGAGGGUACUGCGUCUUCUAAGCUUACCCUUUCAGGCUGGGAUUUAGGCUUCCUCUCCCCUUGUUGGUGGUGGAUCUUUGCUGCUAUUACAGGGUGUGCCCUGGUCAGCUCGUCCCUUCCUGUUACAAAUUAUUGGCGAUGAUGAUUAAAUAUGCGGAGUUGGCACGGAGGGAAGUAACACUUGGGCAUGUGUUGACUCUGUACGCUCCUCAGAGGGUACGUGGCACUAUGAUCCGGUUGGCUCGUCGUGGGACCGAUGGAUUGACUACGGAGCUCGAUGAUGAGGUCGCUACUCAUCCCUUCGAGUAUUUCUUUUGCAUCAGGACUGAGCACCUGGUGGCAUGUGCCACUGACUUCCCGGCAGAGUGGAACCAUGCAC